UACGGAGGGAGCUAGCGUUGUUCGGAAUUACUGGGCGUAAAGCGCACGUAGGCGGCUAUUCAAGUCGGGGGGUGAAAGCCCGGGGCUCAACCCCGGAACUGGCCCUCGAAACUAGGUAGCUAGAAUCUUGGAGAGGCGAGUGGAAUUCCGAGUGUAGAGGUGAAAUGCGCAGAUAUCAGGAGGAACACCGGAAUGGCGAAGGCGGGU
This 207-nucleotide ribosomal RNA is filed under the name uncultured bacterium. Its description in RNAcentral is "partial 16S ribosomal RNA". It matches the Rfam family "Bacterial small subunit ribosomal RNA", at positions 524 to 726 of the family's 1533-position model. The record is from RNAcentral.